RNAcentral lists this transfer RNA (58 nucleotides) under Cricetulus griseus (Chinese hamster). It matches the Rfam family "tRNA", at positions 8 to 63 of the family's 71-position model. From Rfam's summary of the family: Transfer RNA (tRNA) molecules are approximately 80 nucleotides in length. RNAcentral also lists the same sequence under 1 other name. Lineage: Eukaryota; Metazoa; Chordata; Mammalia; Rodentia; Cricetidae. The record is from Rfam by way of RNAcentral.
UGGCUCAGUGGUUAAGAGCACUGGUUGCUCUUCCAGAGGUCCUGAGUUCAAUUCUCAG